This 306-nucleotide ribosomal RNA is filed under the name uncultured Peredibacter sp. Its description in RNAcentral is "bacterial SSU rRNA". It matches the Rfam family "Bacterial small subunit ribosomal RNA", at positions 1033 to 1340 of the family's 1533-position model. The record is from RNAcentral. Lineage: Bacteria; Pseudomonadati; Bdellovibrionota; Bacteriovoracia; Bacteriovoracales; Bacteriovoracaceae.
GACAGGUGCUGCAUGGCUGUCGUCAGCUCGUGUUGUGAAAUGUUGGGUUAAGUCUCGCAACGAGCGCAACCCCUAUCUUUAGUUGCCAGCAUUAAGUUGGGCACUCUAGAGAGACUGCCCGGGUUAACCGGGAGGAAGGUGGGGAUGACGUCAAGUCCUCAUGGCCCUUAUGCCUUGGGCUACACACGUAAUACAAUGGUACACACAAAGGGACGCGACCCGGCGACGGUGAGCAAAUCUCAAAAAGUGUGCCCCAGUUCGGAUUGGAGUCUGCAACUCGACUCCAUGAAGUUGGAAUCGCUAGUA